CCUACGGGGGGCUGCAGUGGGGAAUAUUGCACAAUGGGCGCAAGCCUGAUGCAGCCAUGCUGCGUGUGUGAAGAAGGCCUUCGGGUUGUAAAGCACUUUCAGCGGGGAGGAAGGCGGUGAGGUUAAUAACCUCAUCGAUUGACGUUACCCGCAGAAGAAGCACCGGCUAACUCCGUGCCAGCAGCCGCGGUAAUACGGAGGGUGCAAGCGUUAAUCGGAAUUACUGGGCGUAAAGCGCACGCAGGCGGUCUGUCAAGUCGGAUGUGAAAUCCCCGGGCUCAACCUGGGAACUGCAUUCGGAACUGGCAGGCUAGAGUCUUGUAGAGGGGGGUAGAAUUCCAGGUGUAGCGGUGGAAUGCGUAGAGAUCUGGAGGAAUACCGGUGGCGAAGGCGGCCCCCUGGACAAAGACUGACGCUCAGGUGCGAAAGCGUGGGGAGCAAACAGGAUUAGAUACCCUUGUAGUC
RNAcentral lists this ribosomal RNA (465 nucleotides) under uncultured Klebsiella sp. Its description in RNAcentral is "bacterial SSU rRNA". It matches the Rfam family "Bacterial small subunit ribosomal RNA", at positions 338 to 795 of the family's 1533-position model. Lineage: Bacteria; Pseudomonadati; Pseudomonadota; Gammaproteobacteria; Enterobacterales; Enterobacteriaceae. The record is from RNAcentral.